UACGUAGGUGGCAAGCGUUGUCCGGAAUUACUGGGUGUAAAGCGCGUGUAGGCGGCAGACCAAGUCGGCGGUGAAAGCGCCCGGCUCAACUGGGCGAGGUCCGUGGAAACUGGUCAGCUGGAGGACGGUAGAGGCGAGUGGAAUUCCCGGUGUAGUGGUGAAAUGCGUAGAGAUCGGGAGGAACACCAGUGGCGAAGGCGACUAUCUGGGCUGCAACUGACGCUGAGGCGCGAAGGCUAGGGUAGCAAACAGG
Molecule: ribosomal RNA, 253 nt
Filed under: uncultured bacterium
Lineage: Bacteria
Description: partial 16S ribosomal RNA
Rfam family: Bacterial small subunit ribosomal RNA
Source: RNAcentral